CGGGCGACGGGCGACGCCGCCUUCCCUCACCACAACGGACGCAGGCGGACGGGUCUCCCCUGGUUUCUCGCUGAACGACACAGGCAGAGCCCCACUGUCGCAAGAAUGGACAAGGAAAAGGGGAAGGAGAGGAGGAGGAGAAGGAGAAAGAGAGGAAUUUGGUUUCCAUUAUGAAGGCUAAGCCGCCUGCCCCUGGAAGCAGAAGGGGAAGGGCAAGGGCUGUGUCGCUGCCAAGGAAGCGGGCCAAGGAUUACGGCAAUGUCCCGCUCGCCGAGUUGUUAUUAUGGGUAAAAAAAAGCUCCACCGCCUUGACGUCUUGCUGACCCCGCCGACGCCAGCGGGCGUGCCACGAUCGCCCCUGCCAACGGCUUCGCAAACGACUCCGAGAGGCAUCUUCACCGGUAUGGUUGUGCCAAAUAUGCGUGUCCAACCUCAUGUGUUUGCUGUUUUUGCUAUCCAAAGGCAAUGGAGCAUGAUAAGCAAGCAGAGAAGGAUUAUGAAGAGGAGGAAGAGAAUGAGGAGGAAGAGGAUGAGUAAGAUACUUUGUUUGAGGAGAAAGAUUCUCAUUUUGAUGUCAAAGCACUAAGUGUUAUGCUAUGCAAAAUUGCAUUGUUUGGCUGUCAACGUUCAAUAUUUUUGCCGUAUAAAGUUCAAAGGAGGAGCUGUCCAAAAUUCAAAAGCAAUGAUGCCCAAUUCUUUCUUAGUCAUAUUUGUUCAAUUUCUACACUUUCCAUAGAAGAAAGCUUAUUUUUCAUCACUA
Triticum aestivum (bread wheat) is the source of this 760-nucleotide long non-coding RNA. RefSeq lists it as uncharacterized. The transcript is spliced from 3 exons. The record is from RefSeq and is a predicted model, not a curated record. NCBI's taxonomy places the organism in Eukaryota, Viridiplantae, Streptophyta, Magnoliopsida, Poales, Poaceae.